AGUGAACGCUGGCGGUAGGCCUAACACAUGCAAGUCGAACGGCAGCACAGUAAGAGCUUGCUCUUACGGGUGGCGAGUGGCGGACGGGUGAGGAAUACAUCGGAAUCUACUUUUUCGUGGGGGAUAACGUAGGGAAACUUACGCUAAUACCGCAUACGACCUACGGGUGAAAGCAGGGGAUCUUCGGACCUUGCGCGAUUGAAUGAGCCGAUGUCGGAUUAGCUAGUUGGCGGGGUAAAGGCCCACCAAGGCGACGAUCCGUAGCUGGUCUGAGAGGAUGAUCCGCCACACUGGAACUGAGACACGGUCCAGACUCCUACGGGAGGCCGCAGUGGGGAAUAUUGGACGAUGGGCGCAAGCCUGAUCCUGCCAUACCGCGUGGGUGAAGAAGGCCUUCGGGUUGUAAAGCCCUUUUGUUGGGAAAGAAAAGCAGCAGGUUAAUACCCCGCUGUUCUGACGGUACCCAAAGAAUAAGCACCGGCUAACUUCGUG
RNAcentral lists this ribosomal RNA (492 nucleotides) under uncultured bacterium. RNAcentral describes it as "partial 16S ribosomal RNA". It matches the Rfam family "Bacterial small subunit ribosomal RNA", at positions 29 to 507 of the family's 1533-position model. The record is from RNAcentral.